RNAcentral lists this ribosomal RNA (624 nucleotides) under Parambassis ranga (Indian glassy fish). RNAcentral's name for it is "partial large subunit ribosomal RNA". It matches the Rfam family "Bacterial large subunit ribosomal RNA", at positions 1874 to 2632 of the family's 2925-position model. The record is from RNAcentral. Lineage: Eukaryota; Metazoa; Chordata; Actinopteri; Ambassidae.
GGACUUAACGCAAAGAACGUUUAUAGACGGACCCGGUCUGAAAAAAAAAAGCAUAUGUUUUUGAUAAACGGCGUGACUUUUUAACUUAAAGCAAUCACUUGUCUUUUAAUAGAGACCUGUAUGAAUGGCAUAACGAGGGCUUGACUGUCUCCUUUUUCCAGUCAAUGAAAUUGAUCUCCCCGUGCAGAAGCGGGGAUAAUAACAUAAGACGAGAAGACCCUGUGAAGCUUUAAGACAAUAAGCAGACCAAACUAACCACCCCGAACAAAAGGACUAAAGCACAGGACCCUGCCCUAAUGUCUUCGGUUGGGGCGACCACGGAGAAACAAAAAACCCCCAUGUGGACCAGGAGCACCCUUACUUCCCCUCCCCCUCCUACAACCAAGAGUUACAACUCAAAGUACCAAAACCCUUGACCAAACAUGAUCCGGCAACGCCGAUUAACGAACCAAGUUACUCCAGGGAUAACAGCGCAAUCCCCUUCUAGAGCCCAUAUCGACAAGGGGGUUUACGACCUCGAUGUUGGAUCAGGACAUCCUAAUGGUGCAGCCGCUAUUAAGGGCUCGUUUGUUCAACGAUUAAAGUCCUACGUGAUCUGAGUUCAAACAAAGAUUCCCGCCUGUU